Molecule: ribosomal RNA, 252 nt
Filed under: uncultured bacterium
Lineage: Bacteria
Description: partial 16S ribosomal RNA
Rfam family: Bacterial small subunit ribosomal RNA
Source: RNAcentral
CUGGCCUACGGGGGGCAGCAGUGAGGAAUAUUGGUCAAUGGCCGAGAGGCUGAACCAGCCAAGUCGCGUGAGGGAAGACGGCCCUACGGGUUGUAAACCUCUUUUGUCGGGGAGCAAAGCGAACCACGUGUGGUUCAUUGAGAGUACCCGAAGAAAAAGCAUCGACUAACUCCGUGCCAGCAGCCGCGGUACUACGGAGGAUGCGAGCGUUAUCCGGAUUUAUUGGGUUUAAAGGGAGCGCAGGCGGGAGGU